Molecule: ribosomal RNA, 207 nt
Filed under: uncultured bacterium
Lineage: Bacteria
Description: partial 16S ribosomal RNA
Rfam family: Bacterial small subunit ribosomal RNA
Source: RNAcentral
CGCGUAGGUGGUUUGUUAUGUCAGAUGUGAAAGUCCACGGCUCAACCGUGGAAGUGCAUUUGAAACUGGCAGACUUGAGUACUGGAGGGGGUAGUGGAAUUCCCGGUGUAGAGGUGAAAUUCGUAGAUAUCGGGAGGAAUACCGGUGGCGGAGGCGACUGCCUGGCCAGAUACUGACACUGAGGUGCGAAAGCGUGGGGAGCAAACA